CUUGGUCAUUUAGAGGAAGUAAAAGUCGUAACAAGGUUUCCGCUCAUAAGUCUUGCGCCUGGAACGAAUGAUUCCUUCCGCAGUGUACACUUAUCGAAGCCUUUGCAGCCACGCAAGUGGUAGACCGACACGACUCUAAACAAGACCGGUCGCGAUGCAAGUCGGCAACCCGCCGGCGACACUUUCGAAUUGACGGGGACACCCUAAAGCCGAUCGCACCAACCCGCGGCGGGAAACCGCCCGGGGGCCCGUGGUAACGACACGGGGGAUGGUAACAGACGAUCCGGAUACUUCUGCGGCGCCGCCGUAGAGACCAUGGGCAAUCCGCAGCGAAGCCUCUAAGUCCCCCCGCUGGGAUAUGAGGAACGUCCACAGACUAAGUGGAAGUGGGUGGGGGAUUCCGUCCCCCGCUUAAGAUAUAGUCGGGCCCCCCGGGAGACCGGGGGGGGCGAGUACACUGCAACUCUGAAACAAAAACCGUUCCGUAGGUGAACCUGCGGAAGGAUCAUUA
Molecule: non-coding RNA, 511 nt
Filed under: fungal sp. H11
Lineage: Eukaryota; Fungi
Description: partial 18S ribosomal RNA
Rfam family: Group I catalytic intron (bases 128-446)
About the family: Group I catalytic introns are large self-splicing ribozymes.
Source: RNAcentral